AUCGAACGCUGGCGGCAGGCCUAACACAUGCAAGUAGAGCGGACGAAGGGUGCUUGCUCUUGGUUCACGCGGCGGACGGGUGUGUAAUGCGUUGGAUUACGCUUGGUUGUGCUGGAUAAUGUCCGGAGACGGGUGCUAAUAACGCAUACGACUUGCGGGUGAUAGUGGGUGUUCCUUGGACCUCUCGCUAUAAGAUCUGUUUAGGUGGGAUUAGUUGGUGGGUGGGGUAAAGGCCUACUAAGGCGACUAUCCGUUACUGGUCUGAGAGGAUGAUCAGCCACACUGGAACUGAGACACGGUCCGGACUCCUACGGGAGGCAGCAGAGGGGAAUAUUGGACAAUGGGCGAAAGCCUGAUCCAGCCAGGCCGCGUGUGUGAAGAAGGUCUUCGGAUUGUAAAGCCCGUUGUGUGGGAAGAAAGGGCAGUAGGUUAAUACCUUGCUGUUGUGACGUUACCAACAGAAUAAGCACCGGCUAACUUCGUG
Molecule: ribosomal RNA, 484 nt
Filed under: uncultured bacterium
Lineage: Bacteria
Description: partial 16S ribosomal RNA
Rfam family: Bacterial small subunit ribosomal RNA
Source: RNAcentral